CCAUACAUAAAUAGCCACAAGUUCUCAUACAUGUAUAUAAAAAGUGUGAAGUUGAAACCUACAGACGACAAGGGAAGAAGGAAGCUCUGUCCCAUAGAGGUGAUUCGUGGAGUAAACAUGUUUAUGCCACCAUACCAAAUUGACUGCCCCCUCGAAUUGCACAAUGACAAUAUGCUCUCCUCCUGCGACUCUAACGUAGGCAAAACACUAGUGUUGGAAGGACAUGUAAAAGGGUUAUUGUGCAUUCCAUUGUACAAGCUUGAAUGGAUUAUCUUUUCUGUUGUAUUUGGC
This 291-nucleotide long non-coding RNA is filed under the name Prunus persica (peach). Its description in RNAcentral is "long non-coding RNA (PPER_LNC006003)". Lineage: Eukaryota; Viridiplantae; Streptophyta; Magnoliopsida; Rosales; Rosaceae. The record is from RNAcentral.